Lagopus leucura (white-tailed ptarmigan) is the source of this 194-nucleotide long non-coding RNA. RefSeq lists it as uncharacterized. The transcript has 5 exons. The record is from RefSeq and is a predicted model, not a curated record. Lineage: Eukaryota; Metazoa; Chordata; Aves; Galliformes; Phasianidae.
ACAGGGUGGAUGUGAUUGCUCUGGUGUAAGUUCUAGUGGAUCAUCUUCCUCACUCAGAAGUAAUUCCUCUUCUAAUGACACAUCUUAUUCUGGAGGAAGCCGUUACAGUAGCUAUGAUUCCACCUCGCCAUCUUACAACCGUCAGAAUGAACGGGAGUCAUAUUCUUCUGGAGCUAGUCAAUAUGGUGGACAAG